AAGGCUUUAGCUUAAUUAAAGUGUCUGUUUUGCAUACAGAAGAUGUGGGUUAAUGUCCCGCAAGUCUUA
Molecule: transfer RNA, 69 nt
Filed under: Epinephelus epistictus (dotted grouper)
Lineage: Eukaryota; Metazoa; Chordata; Actinopteri; Perciformes; Serranidae
Also listed under: 2 other names
Description: tRNA-Ala
Rfam family: tRNA
About the family: Transfer RNA (tRNA) molecules are approximately 80 nucleotides in length.
Source: RNAcentral